GAUGAAGAACGUAGCGAAAUGCGAUAAGUAAUGUGAAUUGCAGAAUUCAGUGAAUCAUCGAAUCUUUGAACGCACAUUGCGCCCGUCAGUAUUCUGGCGGGCAUGCCUGUUCGAGCGUCAUUACGCCCCUCAAGUCCCCUGUGGACUUGGUGUUGGGGAUCGGCGAGGCUGGUUUUCCAGCACAGCCGUCCCUUAAAUUAAUUGGCGGUCUCGCCGUGGCCCUCCUCUGCGCAGUAGUAAAACACUCGCAACAGGAGCCCGGCGCGGUCCACUGCCGUAAAACCCCCCAACUUUUUAUAGUUGACCUUGAAUCAGGUAGGACUACCCGCUGAACUUAAGCAUAUCAAUAAGCGGAGGA
RNAcentral lists this unclassified non-coding RNA (358 nucleotides) under soil metagenome. Its description in RNAcentral is "partial contains 5.8S ribosomal RNA, internal transcribed spacer 2, and large subunit ribosomal RNA". The stretch from base 1 to 120 matches the Rfam family "5.8S ribosomal RNA", at positions 35 to 154 of the family's 154-position model. The record is from RNAcentral.